AUCGAUGAAGAACGCAGCGAAAUGCGAUAAGUAAUGUGAAUUGCAGAAUUCAGUGAAUCAUCGAAUCUUUGAACGCACCUUGCGCUCCUUGGUAUUCCGAGGAGCAUGCCUGUUUGAGUGUCAUUAAUAUAUCAACCUUCUCUUUUUGAGUGGUUUGGAUGUGGGGGUUUGCUGGCCUCUUAAAAGGUCUUGGCUCUCCUGAAAUACAUUAGCAGAACAACCCUGUUCAUUGGUGUGAUAACUAUCUACGCUAUUGAAUGUGAAGGGCAGUUUGGCUUUCUAACAGUCCUUGGACAAGCUCAUCAUUAAUGUGACCUCAAAUCAGGUAGGACUACCCGCUGAACUUAAGCAUAUCAAUAAGCGGAGGAAAAGAAACUAACAAGGAUUCCCCUAGUAACUGCGAGUGAAGCGGGAAAAGCUCAAAUUUAAAAUCUGGCAGUCUUUUGGCUGUCCGAGUUGUAAUCUAGAGAAGUGUUAUCCGCGCUGGACCGUGUACAAGUUUCCUGGAAUGGAGCAUCAUAGAGGGUGAGAAUCCCGUCUUUGACAUGGACUACCAGGGCUUUGUGAUGCGCUCUCAAAGAGUCGAGUUGUUUGGGAAUGCAGCUCAAAAUGGGUGGUAAAUUCCAUCUAAAGCUAAAUAUUGGCGAGAGACCGAUAGCGAACAAGUACCGUGAGGGAAAGAUGAAAAGCACUUUGGAAAGAGAGUUAAACAGUACGUGAAAUUGCUGAAAGGGAAACGCUUGAAGUCAGUCACGUCUGCCAGGACUCAGCCUCGCUUCUGCUUGGUGCACUUUCUGGUUUGAUGGGCCAACAUCAAUUUUGACCGCUGGAGAAAGGCAUUGGGAAUGUGGCACCUUCGGGUGUGUUAUAGCCCUUUGUUGUAUGCAACGGUUGGGAUUGAGGACUGCAGCACGCCUUCAUGGCCGGGGUUCGCCCACGUAUGUGCUUAGGAUGUUGGCAUAAUGGCUUUAAGCGACCCGUCUUGAAACACGG
RNAcentral lists this ribosomal RNA (993 nucleotides) under uncultured Basidiomycota. RNAcentral's name for it is "eukaryotic LSU rRNA". The stretch from base 312 to 993 matches the Rfam family "Eukaryotic large subunit ribosomal RNA", at positions 1 to 664 of the family's 3401-position model. Lineage: Eukaryota; Fungi; Basidiomycota. The record is from RNAcentral.